This 848-nucleotide ribosomal RNA is filed under the name Neoradina prasongi. Its description in RNAcentral is "partial large subunit ribosomal RNA". It matches the Rfam family "Bacterial large subunit ribosomal RNA", at positions 1413 to 2564 of the family's 2925-position model. The record is from RNAcentral. Lineage: Eukaryota; Metazoa; Mollusca; Gastropoda; Thiaridae.
ACACAAUGAAUGUAAGGUUAAAAACGAUUAGAGAUACAACCGUUAUUAAUUUAGGUUCUAUUGGACUUUUUUGAGGAUAAGCUCGAAAAUUGUUGUUGAGAGUUAUAUAGUUAAAAGCUAUUGUGUGGGCCUAAAAUUAGCUAUCACGAGAGUUUGUUAUAAAACAGUAGAAACAUGUAAAAAUAUUACUAUAUGUACAUACCACACGAAACUAUAAGAAUAACAAUCUAAAUUAGAAGGUUGAUAUACCUAUGCUAGGAUGAGUAUUAAAAUUAUUUAAACUGAAAAGUAAAGACAUUUUCCUUUAAAGGUAUUUUUAAUAUAAAUUAAAGAGAAGGAAUUCGGCAAACGUUGUUUCGCCUGUUUAUCAAAAACAUGGCUCUUUGAAAAGAGUGUAUAAAGAGUCGAACCUGCCCAGUGAGUAAUUUUAACGGCCGCGGUACCCUGACCGUGCAAAGGUAGCAUAAUCAUUUGCCUUAUAAUUGAAGGCUGGCAUGAAUGGUCUGACGAGAGCAACACUGUCUCCUCUUUAUUAUCUAGAAAUUAACUUAUGGGUGAAGAGGCCUAUAUUAUAUUGAAGGACAAGAAGACCCUGUCGAGCUUAAAAGAACGAUAGAAGUUGGCUAUCAAAAGAAAUCAAUAAACUAUACAGCUUUUUAGUUGGGGCGACUAAGGAACAAAUAAAGCUUCUUCUGUUUCUAUAAAUUUAUAGAUCUAGAUCCAGCAAAGCUGAUCAAAGGAAUUAGUUACCGCAGGGAUAACAGCAUAAUCUCCUUUGAGAGACCUAAUCGAAAGGGGGGGUUGUGACCUCGAUGUUGGACUAGAAUAUCCUGAAGAUGCAGACGUCU